AACGAACGCUGGCGGCGUGCCUAACACAUGCAAGUCGAACGCGAAAGGGGGGCAACCCCCGAGUAGAGUGGCGCACGGGUGAGUAACACGUGGGUAACCCACCCUAGAGAUCGGGACAACCAGGGGAAACUCUGGCUAAUACCGGAUGCGUCCGAGUUGGCCUCGGCCGACUCGGAGAAAGGUGGCCUAUGCUUGCAAGCCAUCGCUCUUGGACGGGCCCGCGGCCCAUUAGCUAGUUGGUGAGGUAACGGCUCACCAAGGCUGUGAUGGGUAGCUGGUCUGAGAGGAUGAUCAGCCACACUGGGACUGGAACACGGCCCAGACUCCUACGGGAGGCAGCAGUGGGGAAUUUUGCGCAAUGGGGGAAACCCUGACGCAGCAACGCCGCGUGGGUGACGAAGGCCCUUGGGUCGUAAAGCCCUGUCGGGUGGGAAGAAGCCCCUGGCGGCGAACAGUCGCUAGGGAUGACGGUACCACUAAAGGAAGCACCGGCUAACUCUGUGCCAGCAGCCGCGGUAAAGUA
RNAcentral lists this ribosomal RNA (523 nucleotides) under uncultured bacterium. RNAcentral's name for it is "bacterial SSU rRNA". It matches the Rfam family "Bacterial small subunit ribosomal RNA", at positions 29 to 527 of the family's 1533-position model. The record is from RNAcentral.